Molecule: transfer RNA, 61 nt
Filed under: Eutreptiella gymnastica
Lineage: Eukaryota; Euglenozoa; Euglenophyceae; Eutreptiales; Eutreptiaceae
Source: RNAcentral
CGUAGCUCAGUGGUCAAAGGGCCUGUCUCCAGGCGGGACGUUCUUGGGUUCGAAAUCGGCC